This 209-nucleotide ribosomal RNA is filed under the name uncultured bacterium. RNAcentral's name for it is "partial 16S ribosomal RNA". It matches the Rfam family "Bacterial small subunit ribosomal RNA", at positions 562 to 770 of the family's 1533-position model. The record is from RNAcentral.
AAAGAGCGCGCAGGUGGUUAAUUAAGUCGGAUGUGAAAGCCCCUGGCUCAACCGGGGAGGGUCAUUGGAAACUGGGAGACUUGAGUGCAGAAGAGGAGAGUGGAAUUCCAUGUGUAGCGGUGAAAUGCGUAGAUAUAUGGAGGAACACCAGUGGCGAAGGCGGCUCUCUGGUCUGUAACUGACGCUGAGGCGCGAAAGCGUGGGGAGCA